Molecule: transfer RNA, 131 nt
Filed under: Exophiala aquamarina CBS 119918
Lineage: Eukaryota; Fungi; Ascomycota; Eurotiomycetes; Chaetothyriales; Herpotrichiellaceae
Rfam family: tRNA
About the family: Transfer RNA (tRNA) molecules are approximately 80 nucleotides in length. Their secondary structure includes four short double-helical elements and three loops (D, anti-codon, and T loops).
Source: Rfam by way of RNAcentral
GCUCCGCUGGCGCAAUGGUAGCGCGCCAGACUUCUAAUCUGGAGGGUAAGAAUCCUCCAACAACGCCGCUGCCACCAGGAAAAAAAAAUUAACAAUUUCCAUAGUUGUGGGUUCGAGUCCCACGCGGAGUG